CGAGGGGUAGAGGAAGCUUGCUUCCUUGAGACCGGCGCACGGGUGCGUAACGCGUAUACAAUCUACCUUUUACAGAGGGAUAGCCCAGAGAAAUUUGGAUUAAUACCUCAUAGUAUUUUCGAAUCGCAUGGUUUGAUUAUUAAAGUUCCAACGGUAAAAGAUGAGUAUGCGUCCCAUUAGCUAGAUGGUAAGGUAACGGCUUACCAUGGCAAUGAUGGGUAGGGGUCCUGAGAGGGAGAUCCCCCACACUGGUACUGAGACACGGACCAGACUCCUACGGGAGGCAGCAGUGAGGAAUAUUGGACAAUGGGCGCAAGCCUGAUCCAGCCAUGCCGCGUGCAGGAAGACGGUCCUAUGGAUUGUAAACUGCUUUUAUACAGGAAGAAACACUCCCUCGUGAGGGAACUUGACGGUACUGUAUGAAUAAGCAUCGGCUAACUCCGUGCCAGCAGCCGCGGUAAUACGGAGGAUGCAAGCGUUAUCCGGAAUCAUUGGGUUUAAAGGGUCCGUAGGCGGUUUAAUAAGUCAGUGGUGAAAGCCCAUCGCUCAACGAUGGAACGGCCAUUGAUACUGUUAAACUUGAAUUAUUAGGAAGUAACUAGAAUAUGUAGUGUAGCGGUGAAAUGCUUAGAGAUUACAUGGAAUACCAAUUGCGAAGGCAGGUUACUACUAAUAUAUUGACGCUGAUGGACGAAAGCGUGGGGAGCGAACAGGAUUAGAUACCCUGGUAGUCCACGCCGUAAACGAUGGAUACUAGCUGUUCGGAGCAAUCUGAGUGGCUAAGCGAAAGUGAUAAGUAUCCCACCUGGGGAGUACGUUCGCAAGAAUGAAACUCAAAGGAAUUGACGGGGGCCCGCACAAGCGGNGGNNCAUGUGGUUUAAUUCGAUGAUACGCGAGGAACCUUACCNANGGCUUAAAUGGNAAACGACAGGUUUGGNAAACAGACUUUUCUUCGGACNUUUU
This 964-nucleotide ribosomal RNA is filed under the name uncultured bacterium. RNAcentral describes it as "bacterial SSU rRNA". It matches the Rfam family "Bacterial small subunit ribosomal RNA", at positions 63 to 1032 of the family's 1533-position model. The record is from RNAcentral.